UGUAAACCUGAAAUGAAGAUACUCUCUUCUCAAGACA
Molecule: transfer RNA, 37 nt
Filed under: Mus cypriacus (Cypriot mouse)
Lineage: Eukaryota; Metazoa; Chordata; Mammalia; Rodentia; Muridae
Description: partial tRNA-Thr
Source: RNAcentral